Molecule: non-coding RNA, 1105 nt
Organism: Cyanistes caeruleus (blue tit)
Lineage: Eukaryota; Metazoa; Chordata; Aves; Passeriformes; Paridae
Source: RefSeq, a predicted model, not a curated record
AAUGUAUUUUUAAAUGUUAAUUUACACUAUUCCCUAAAGGCUUCACAGCUUCAUGUCUAUGAAGGUUACUGGCUGUUAGGACAAGUUACCUCCCUGCAUAGUCUGGGAACCGACAGUAUUUUGAUAAUUCUCAGUAUGACUGUGGCCCCGGGAGUCAAAGCAUACUGAUAAGAGCAUCUAUAAAAAGGAGCUCUAAAGCUUGCUGCAUAGCACUGCAGCUGCCUGGAGAAUCAACAUUACCCAUGGAAACCUCUGCAGAAAGGUUUCUGCACUCAGCUGCCAUCCUCCAGCUGCGUCAGAAGAGAAGGCUCAAGGCUGUGAUCCAGUGUCUUCUGCUGCUGAUAUAUUUUGCUUCCUCUCUCCUGAAGAACUUCUGUCAUGACAAUUUGCCACUUUGUUUGAAGAAGGUGACUGGAACUUCUCAGAGCUGAAUCUAUUACAGGAGAGCUAGAGGCAUCCUAAACUAGAAGCAAUGUUUUCAGAAAGUCUUGGUAUUCUCUGGCACCACAAGCUACUGACACAAUUGCUGCCUUUGGUUUAACACAUCUCCAAAGCAAACAAGAAAGCACCUUGCGAAGCUGCCAAGAGAAAACAUGCUAAAAACACAGAGCGAGAGGUAACGCAUAGUACGGAAAACCUUUUCAUACGGACAUUGUCAUGCAGGCUGCUAUUCCUACUGACAGGCAUCACCUGCUCCUGUGUCUGUCACAUAACAUCCCAGUGACGAUUCCAGCAAUGGCUUACAUGGAAAAAGGCGUAGGAAAGUACUCAUGUAUUUUUAGCUAUCAUUUUAAAACACAGGUCAGCAGCUGGAGAAAGACAGGAGAAACCAACACCACGUAGGCAAUCACACAUGGUAGAAAUUAGAAAGUAUUACGUGGAUCUCACUUUCUGAACUUCUAAGGUAAACCAUGAGGUUAAAUUUGGGAACAAUUUCUGAGCUCACAUCUGUGUUAUUUCAUUGAGGAUUCCAUAUUUGUGCCUGUGCUGCUCUUGGGGGCAUUAGGAUCUCCUUCAUCAAGGCCUACUGUUUGCUUUUUUUGUGGUAUGCAACUUUUAACCCAAUUGUAGUUUGCUGGUUUUCUUGAAAAAUGAGAAAAUAAGA